This is an RNA transcript of Musa acuminata AAA Group (dessert banana), 2137 nucleotides long. RefSeq lists it as uncharacterized. The record is from RefSeq and is a predicted model, not a curated record. The transcript has 11 exons. Lineage: Eukaryota; Viridiplantae; Streptophyta; Magnoliopsida; Zingiberales; Musaceae.
UUCUGCAAGGCCUGUAUCGAUGGGAGCGAUUUAGUAUCCGAGCACCGGUUUACCAACCUCAUGUUUUACCCACUUUGUGAGACCAAUCGGGCCUUCUAAUUAUACCCGGGUCCAGCGGUCCAAAGCGCGUGCGAACGUCACUCGUACAUCCCUCGCGUGCGGCUUAGCCCUCCCCCGUUCCCCCGGCGCGGCUCGGCCACCCAUUCUAAAUCGUUGCAGAUAUCCGGUGGAGGCUCUUCAGGAAGGUGGAAGAGGAAAAAGGAGAAGAUGCUGACGGCGAUGGACUCUGCCCUAGCGAUCGGUUUGCGGCCCCGCGGCGGCGCGUGUCCCUCGCCUCUCCCGCCGCGGUCUCUGCUGUCGCUCGUGGUGGGGGCCUGUCGCCGGUGUUCUUGGCGGGGCAAGCGGAGGCUCUUCGGUCGAGGGUUUCGGGAUCUUGAGCGCUCCCGGACCAACAUGGAUGGCUGCUUUGGAUCGUGCCCGAGUCAUCCUCUUUCUGCUAGGGUUCGUGCCGCGCAAGGGGAUGCGGAUUCGCCGACGAGCAACUCCAGACGGCGGUACCACCCUUCCGAGGAAAUCGAAGAGCUGGUUCCUCCCGUUGACGGCGAAGAGAGGCGCCUCACGGAUGCCGAAACUGCAAGAACCAUAGUUGAGGUGAAUAGCAAAGCAACUGUCAUUUUCACGGGAUUUAUUGAUGAAGAAGUCGAUGAAAAUAUUAUUUGGCCUUAUGUACCAUAUUUAACUGAUGAAUAUGGAGAUAUCUAUUUUGAGGUGAAUAAUGAGAAAGAAAUUCUGCAAACUCUGAUUUCGGACGAUAAAUUAGUGCAAGUUAUAAUUGGGUUGGACAAUAUAGAAAUGCUAUCAGAGAUGGAAGUGCUAGGGCCCAGUGAUCUUGAUAUUGAAGUAGAAGAAAUCUCAAGUGAUGUAGGUGAUGUUAAUGAUGGAUAUGAAGAGGAUGCAGUGGCCAUCAUCGAAGAUGAAUUAGAUGAACUUCUCUCUUCUGAUAAUGUAAGUGAUUGGACAAAUUUGGAAACAAUGCAGUCUUGUCAUCCAAUGUAUUUUGCUAAGAAAAUGGAAGAGUCUGUAUCGAAUGUUGAUUUGGACUGGAUGGAUCAACCUCCUGCUAGCAUUGUCAUCCAAGGUCAACUGAGACCUGCCUUCGCUGAAGAGAGCAUAAAUAUCAAGAAGCUUCCAUAUAGUGGAGAAUUAGAUAAGGAUCAAAGUCUACAUAACGGAGCUUCAUUCUACAAAUUGGAGAUGAUUAAUAUUCAGAUAGUUUCUUCGUAUGGGAAUCAGUUUGAAGUUAAGAUUCAAGAUUUUCGAGAAGCUCGACCAGAUGUUCUUGCACAUUCUGCUACCAAUAUCAUAUCUCAUCUUAAAUCUGGUGGGGAAAAGGUCUCACAAGCCCUUAAAAUGCUGUGUAUGAGGCAAAAGGGUAUUCAUGUAGAGUUCAGGAGGCUGUUGUCAUUGGUGUUGACAGUCUUGGUUUCGACUUGAGAGUUUGUUCAGGAAGGCAAGUCCAAACUCUAAGAUUUUCUUUUGCUACACAAGCAACAUCCGAGUUUAGUGCAGAAAGACAACUCAAUGAUCUUCUAUUCCCACUACUUAAGCAGAAACAGCAGCGAUGGCAACAAGCUCAUCAGGGAAUUGACAGUUGACGCAUUUGAUUACUGCUGCAUCUUCAGCUGAAUCACGCAUACAACAUGCAACGGGAUUUUGCAUGGGUAUCUGGUCAUGGGCCAUCGAUGCAUAUAGCUUGCAUUCGUAUGCCUCACCGUCAGAAUUGCAUGUUGACCGGAUUCUUUUAACAGCGAGUCAAACGAACGAUAGAUUGUUGAUGGUAUGAUAAAGGAUGCUCAUGCUCAACUUGUCCGAGGUUUGUCUUGUAUUAUCAUUUACAUUAGGGCAAUAUCAUGCUGAAAAAAAUUCGCUCGAGAGUAAACGAAGAGCGGGCUUGUGAAUUGUGCUUGGAGCAGGCUUUUCUACUUUUAGUAUGAUAUUACUGCGAUGUUGGGACAGUUUGUUGAUAGAAAGUCUCAUCCAUUUGUCUGCCUGUGUUUACGUGUGAUCGACAGAAAAGGUGUCUUUUGUAUUGGGUGCAAACGUACAUGAGGAUCAAAAACUCUAUCUUCUAAGUGCU